Non-coding RNA from Trichomonas vaginalis G3, 1078 nucleotides. Lineage: Eukaryota; Parabasalia; Trichomonadida; Trichomonadidae. The record is from Rfam.
AAUGUACUAUCACUGAUACCAUAAAGGGAGUCCAUGUAUUAGACAGCAGGUCGGUGCCCCUAAAAGCAGGUAUCCGCUAAAGAGUGUGUUAAAACUCACCUGCCGAAUACUAGGGCCCCGAAAAUGAAUGGCGCAUAUAGUACUACCGAUCUCAGACAUCAGUUCUAUUGAACUGAGAGUAGGGGGAUGUGGACAUUUUUGUGAAGGUGCAAUGUGAGUUGGACUGGAAGAAUGUCUAUUACAGAUCCUAAUUGAAGUAGCGAUUAUCCAGGCUUGUAUCCUGGGGGCUGAUGAGGAGUAGGGUUUCUGGACAACUUAAACAGAUCCAGAGUUAGUCGAUCCUAAUCUCAAUAAUGGGAGAAAGGGAGUACAGUUGAUAUUCUGUAACUGACAACAGUUCGCGGCAACGCAUACUAUUUUUCUCCGCCAAUCUUAUACCGUUGGUAGGGAUCUCUUUCCUACAUGACAGUACUAAUACCCAGGGAAACUGGUCAUCAGGCGAACUGCGGCGUUCUGCUGGCAAAACAUAGCUUCGGUUAUGUCAAUGGCUAUUGGAUUGGUCCAUGAAGCGAAAAAUAGUUUACUGUGUCACUCGUACCGAUAACCGCAUCAGGUCUUCUAGGUAAGUAGCCUAUGGCCAUUGAGGCAUGAUAGUUCAGGGAAUUCGGCCAAUUAGAGCUGUAACUUCGGGAUAAAGCUUGGCUCUGAUGAAAAUCAGAACCGAUUGUUACGCGGAGAGCCCAACUGUUUAAUAAAAACGUAGUGUCGCGCUGUGGUAGUAUAGCCAGUGAACGCGACAUGAAUCCUGCUCAGUGCUGUGUCUGUUAAUAUGGUUCAAGCCAACGAAGCACCGGUAAAUAGCUGGGGUAACUAUGACUCUUAUCAAAGUAGCGAAAUACCUCGUCACUUAAUUAGUGACCUGCAUGAACGGAGCUAUGAGGUUCUCACUGUCCCAAACUGUCUCUCAGCGAACCAACUGUAGUGGGAACGGUCACUAGAUAUCCAGCGGGGAAAGAAGACCCUGUAGAGCUUCACUUUGGUCUAGUCUUGUAUAGUUCCUGCGGGGGUGUAGACUAGG